UGGAGGACGAGUUGGCACAUUUGCUCUUCCUGCUGAUGUUGAACGAAGAGACGACGGGUUUUCCUCAACAAAAUUCCUAGCUAGCUACUCACAGAAGCAGCAAAUGGAGACAAUUAUCAUACAGAGGUAAUUACAACUCAAACUAACAUGUCACUGCAUAUGCUCAUCUAGAUUAAAUUUGUUUAACUGUAUCCCCUCCGUACUUUAUAUCACAAUUUUUAGGAAAAACCCAGAAUUAUCCAAAGAGAUUUAACAACUAGCCAGUCUCUUGAGCUAGAGCCACUUUCUGAAGGGAGCCAACACAAAGAUUUUCAGAGCUUUUUUGCAAUACGGUUGAAGAACAGAACUUAUAUAACUGAAAUCAGUUACAAAUGCAGUUCAAUUUGAACACAUUCAUACUGGAUUAUACUUCAUUAUCUAUGUAGAAGUGAAAUGUUGUCAAUAUUUCAGAACUCUCCGGUCUCCAUCAAAACAACAGCAACGCUGAAGCUAAAUCUCAUAAAGUAACAUACACACACAAGGAAAUGUAAAUCAAGACUGGAUAAGCAGAUCGAGG
Molecule: long non-coding RNA, 556 nt
Filed under: Nicotiana tabacum (common tobacco)
Lineage: Eukaryota; Viridiplantae; Streptophyta; Magnoliopsida; Solanales; Solanaceae
Description: long non-coding RNA (NTAB_LNC016309)
Source: RNAcentral